AACGUAGGAGACAAACGUUAUCCGGAGUUACUGGGCGUAAAGGGCGUGUAGGCGGUUUGUUAAGUCUGGCGUGAAAGCUCUCGGCUAAACCGGGAGAGGUCGUUGGAUACUAGCAAACUAGAGGACGGUAGAGGCGUGUGGAAUUCCGGGUGUAGUGGUGAAAUGCGUAGAGAUCCGGAGGAACACCAGUGGCGAAGGCGACACGCUGGGCCGUACCUGACGCUAAAGCGCGACAGCAUGGGGAGCAAACGGG
RNAcentral lists this ribosomal RNA (253 nucleotides) under uncultured bacterium. Its description in RNAcentral is "partial 16S ribosomal RNA". It matches the Rfam family "Bacterial small subunit ribosomal RNA", at positions 524 to 776 of the family's 1533-position model. The record is from RNAcentral.